GCAUUAGUGAGAUUGAGGUCUUGGAGAUUUCUUCUUCAAUCUUGGAGAAUGACUACUUCUGAAAACUAAUGUUUCUCCGUCUCAUAAUUUUACCCUAUUAAUUCAGUUUGGAUGAUCGGACCAAGGUGACUGCCAUGGGCAAGUCCCUUGACGGGUACCAGGAAUGGUGGGAGGACAAUCUGAAGUUAAUGAUCUUUGCCUACAACAGCAGCGUCCAGGCCUCUAGAGUACUCACCCUAUCGCCUGCUGUACUAAUGGGCCCUGCAGCUGUUUACGGAGGUAAACAAUGCAAUUGUAUAUAAAAUGAUUGCCUAUACUGUAGCAUAUACAAUUUGUGAUUGACUUAGUGUUUUUCUAUUGCUAUUUUUGUAUAACGUACUUUGAGAUCACUGAUAAUCCACCUGAUGUGGUGGAAGUUGUCGAACCAGAUCAGAAUGCCUUCAAGGACCACCUUCAGGCACGGACUGAGAAGGAUGUGAAGGUUUUUGACCAGGUGAGACUGAACACGGACAAGGCGCAGGAGAAACAGAAGGAGGAGAAUCAAUUCACCGGAGGAGAAUCAAGUGGACCAAGUGCUUCGACAUCCGGGCGAAUGACUUGGCUUGGAAGAAGGACGAAAGGAAGGCAAGACCUGGGAAAGCUUGGUGCUCUUUCGCUCCUAGCUGGGGUCACCAUCUGUUAAGGGAACAUACCUUACCUCCCUUAUCAACCCCACUGACAUAAAACAUCUGACAAGCUAAGAAAGAGCAAGAAAACUAUCAUACUGGGUACAUAAUGUGAGCUGCACAGAUUAGCUAAAAACACUAGCCCUGAAAAUACUCAGAACAAAGAGGGCAGCAGCGCCUGGACUUUGCAGUUUCCCUCUUCAGGUCCACCUUCCAAGACUACCUGUUGAAAACAAGUGACAGGCAGAACCUCUCAUCCACACAGCACCCGCCUCCUCUCUGUUCUACACUACAGAAUUCAGUAUUUUAGUCUGAUUGCCAUGUGAGUGUACAAAAAAUCAGAAAGUAAAUUGACACACUUGUACCCCCAAAAAUAUCAACGUUUAUGUAUUAAAUCUAAAAUAUUGCCAGAUUGGUUUUCACAGCUGUUUUAUAAGGUGUUCAGUAUUGUAAAUUGUAACGUAUCCCUUGAUGGUAUUUGUUAGUUAAACAUUAUUAAUUGUUGUAUCAAAUGCAAUAGAUAUAUAUUCAACCACAAGGGUGUACUAAUGAGCUAUGAGUGUUAAAAAAUCAUAAUAAAGGACUACUACUGAAAUAUUAUUUCAGUGUAGAUAAGGAAA
Molecule: non-coding RNA, 1285 nt
Organism: Salmo salar (Atlantic salmon)
Lineage: Eukaryota; Metazoa; Chordata; Actinopteri; Salmoniformes; Salmonidae
Source: RefSeq, a predicted model, not a curated record